Molecule: ribosomal RNA, 950 nt
Filed under: Streptomyces sp.
Lineage: Bacteria; Bacillati; Actinomycetota; Actinomycetes; Kitasatosporales; Streptomycetaceae
Description: bacterial SSU rRNA
Rfam family: Bacterial small subunit ribosomal RNA
Source: RNAcentral
CGGCCGAUCCAGGUCGACUGAGCUUGAAUCGAAUUCGCGUGUCGCCCUUAGAGUUUGAUCCUGGCUCAGGACGAACGCUGGCGGCGUGCUUAACACAUGCAAGUCGAACGAUGAAGCCCUUCGGGGUGGAUUAGUGGCGAACGGGUGAGUAACACGUGGGCAAUCUGCCCUUCACUCUGGGACAAGCCCUGGAAACGGGGUCUAAUACCGGAUACGACUGCGGGAGGCAUCUCCUGUGGUGGAAAGCUCCGGCGGUGAAGGAUGAGCCCGCGGCCUAUCAGCUUGUUGGUGGGGUAAUGGCCUACCAAGGCGACGACGGGUAGCCGGCCUGAGAGGGCGACCGGCCACACUGGGACUGAGACACGGCCCAGACUCCUACGGGAGGCAGCAGUGGGGAAUAUUGCACAAUGGGCGAAAGCCUGAUGCAGCGACGCCGCGUGAGGGAUGACGGCCUUCGGGUUGUAAACCUCUUUCAGCAGGGAAGAAGCGAGAGUGACGGUACCUGCAGAAGAAGCGCCGGCUAACUACGUGCCAGCAGCCGCGGUAAUACGUAGGGCGCAAGCGUUGUCCGGAAUUAUUGGGCGUAAAGAGCUCGUAGGCGGCUUGUCACGUCGGAUGUGAAAGCCCGAGGCUUAACCUCGGGUCUGCAUUCGAUACGGGCUGGCUAGAGUGUGGUAGGGGAGAUCGGAAUUCCUGGUGUAGCGGUGAAAUGCGCAGAUAUCAGGAGGAACACCGGUGGCGAAGGCGGAUCUCUGGGCCAUUACUGACGCUGAGGAGCGAAAGCGUGGGGAGCGAACAGGAUUAGAUACCCUGGUAGUCCACGCCGUAAACGUUGGGAACUAGGUGUUGGCGACAUUCCACGUCGUCGGUGCCGCAGCUAACGCAUUAAGUUCCCCGCCUGGGGAGUACGGCCGCAAGGUUAAAACUCAAAGGAAUUGACGGGGGCCCGC